UACAGAGGUCUCAAGCGUUGUUCGGAUUCAUUGGGCGUAAAGGGUGCGUAGGUGGCAGGGUAAGUCGGGUGUGAAAGCCCCGGGCUCAACCUGGGAAUUGCAUUCGAGACUGCGUAGCUAGGGUGCGGAAGAGGGAAGCGGAAUUUCCGGUGUAGCGGUGAAAUGCGUAGAUAUCGGGAGGAACACCUGUGGCGAAAGCGGCGCACUGGACCACAACUGACGCUGAGGCACGAAAGCGUGGGGAGCAAACAGG
RNAcentral lists this ribosomal RNA (253 nucleotides) under uncultured bacterium. Its description in RNAcentral is "partial 16S ribosomal RNA". It matches the Rfam family "Bacterial small subunit ribosomal RNA", at positions 524 to 776 of the family's 1533-position model. The record is from RNAcentral.